GGUAUAGGUAACAUUAUAAAUUAUACGAAUAGAUAUUUGUGUAAAAAAAAAAAAAAAAAAAGAUUUAAAUAAGAAAAACUUAACAAAAUAUUAAAGACAACUAUAUAAUACAUGUUUCAUGAUGAUAAAAUUUAUGAAAUGGUGUAAUAGGUAUACAUAACAAGAAUAAAAUAAACAAUAAAUUUAAUUAUUUAGCUCUACAAAUAUUUAAAUAAUUUCCACAAAAAGUAUUUACAAAAAUAAAAAUAUUUAAAAAAAAAAAAAUGUAAUUUUGUCUAGGUACGAUUUGUUUUAAAAUAAGGUGCCGAUAAAAAAAAAAAAAAAAUACACCAUAACUCGGAUUUAAUAGUAUAUGUAUACAUAUAUAUUUUUUAUAAUUAUAAUUUAUAAUAUUAUUAGUUAUUAAUUAAUUAGUAUAUAUCUUAUACACAUAAUAUAUAUUAGAUAUAUACUAUAUUUUAUAAUAAAAUAAUACGAUCAACUACUUUAAUCGUAUUUUUCUUAACUGUAUAACUGUAUUAAGUACAUUCAUAAUAUAUUAUAUUUAUCAUACAAUAUUAUAAUAAUAACUGCGCAAAGCGUAAUAAUUAACAUUGAUUUAGUAUUUUCGUUUAUAUUUUUUACAAUAUUUAAAUUAUGUAGGUAUGUAAAAUAUGUUAAAAACAAAUACAAAUAUAUUAAAAACAGUAUUAAGAUAAUAAUAUUAGGUAUGUAAUAUGUUUAUACAAUAGAGAAAAAAAAAACAAUCAUAUACCUAUAAUACAGCGUAUAAGUCGUAAGGAGUAUUUAAUAAGUAUUGAAAGUUGUUGACGACUUAAUUUUCUAGAUAAAUUUGUUGAGUUUUAUAUCAUCCGAUAUUAAUCAAUAUCGAACAAAUAAUGAAACUUAUAGGCUUUCGUUUUCUUCCAGUGAGGUUUUAAAUAAAACGAUUUUAAAAAAUAUAUUAAUAUAUAAUUUUUCUUUUAUAAAACCACGGUUACAUACUUAUAUUAGUUCUUAUGAGAUAACCUAUGAUCAAGAAAAUUAUUAUAUUAUGUUGCAAAUCCAUGAGCUGUAUAUACGUAUGAUAUAGGUAUAGGUAGGCAUAGUUUGUUGGUCACCGUGCUAUAGUGUUCAUAAAAAAAAUAAACCUGAUAAUAUACGACGUAUAGAUAGUUAUUUUUCUAUAUUUAUUAAUGAUCAUGUUUGUUAUAUUUUUAUUUAUACGACAUAAUUAUAAUUUAUACAUUUGUUUUAUUCAAUGCGUAGGUAGGUACAAAAUUAUAUGCACUUUAGUUCUUUUCGGGUUGUUGAAUAUAAGAUAUGUAAUACAAGUAACGUGUGGAAAUCACGUUUUACAUACCUACAGUUUUACUACUAUUAUGAGAGUCAGAUAGCGAAUAGACAUAUAUGAGGAAAUAUAUUAUAGGUUGGUGUACAAAAUACACGACUAUAAUAUAGUCAGCUGUCAUCGCUGUAUGCGGCGUUGCCCGGGUUAGGUUAUGUUCGGUUAUUCAAAAACAAACAGAAAUCAAUAAAAACAAAAUUCAAUUUUACACGGAUAUCAUUUUUCAACCCACUCCCACUAAAGUUACCCUAUGUUAAGUUAUCUGUCGCAACUCGGUUAUUUAUUUAUCUUGAUUUUCUAUGCACGAUAAUAACGAAUCGAGAUUAAUUG
RNAcentral lists this long non-coding RNA (1657 nucleotides) under Cinara cedri. The record is from RNAcentral. Lineage: Eukaryota; Metazoa; Arthropoda; Insecta; Hemiptera; Aphididae.